ACGAAAGGGGCUAGCGUUGUUCGGAAUUACUGGGCGUAAAGCGCUCGUAGGCGGCAAUGUAAGUUGGGGGUGAAAUCCCGGAGCUCAACUCCGGAACUGCCUCCAAAACUACAUAGCUCGAGGAUGUGAGAGGAUAGUGGAAUUCCAAGUGUAGAGGUGAAAUUCGUAGAUAUUUGGAAGAACACCAGUGGCGAAGGCGACUGUCUGGCACAUUUCUGACGCUGAGGAGCGAAAGCGUGGGGAGCAAACAGG
Molecule: ribosomal RNA, 252 nt
Filed under: uncultured bacterium
Lineage: Bacteria
Description: partial 16S ribosomal RNA
Rfam family: Bacterial small subunit ribosomal RNA
Source: RNAcentral